UACGUAGGCAGCGAGCGUUGUUCGGAAUUACUGGGCGUAAAGAGUGUGUAGGCGGUGCUCUAAGUUCGGUGUGAAAUCUCCCGCUUAACUGGGAGGGUGCGCCGGAAACUGGAGUGCUCGAACGUGGGAGAGGAAAGCGGAAUUCCUGGCGUAGCGGUGAAAUGCGUAGAUAUCAGGAGGAACACCUGCGGUGUAGACGGCUUUCUGGACCAUUGUUGACGCUGAGACACGAAAGCGCGGGUAGCAAACAGG
Molecule: ribosomal RNA, 252 nt
Filed under: uncultured bacterium
Lineage: Bacteria
Description: partial 16S ribosomal RNA
Rfam family: Bacterial small subunit ribosomal RNA
Source: RNAcentral